This 660-nucleotide ribosomal RNA is filed under the name Azospira oryzae. Its description in RNAcentral is "bacterial SSU rRNA". It matches the Rfam family "Bacterial small subunit ribosomal RNA", at positions 771 to 1429 of the family's 1533-position model. Lineage: Bacteria; Pseudomonadati; Pseudomonadota; Betaproteobacteria; Rhodocyclales; Rhodocyclaceae. The record is from RNAcentral.
AACAGGAUUAGAUACCCUGGUAGUCCACGCCCUAAACGAUGUCAACUAGGUGUUGGAAGGGUUAAACCUUUUAGUACCGCAGCUAACGCGUGAAGUUGACCGCCUGGGGAGUACGGCCGCAAGGUUAAAACUCAAAGGAAUUGACGGGGACCCGCACAAGCGGUGGAUGAUGUGGAUUAAUUCGAUGCAACGCGAAAAACCUUACCUACCCUUGACAUGCCAGGAACUUUCCAGAGAUGGAUUGGUGCCCGAAAGGGAGCCUGGACACAGGUGCUGCAUGGCUGUCGUCAGCUCGUGUCGUGAGAUGUUGGGUUAAGUCCCGCAACGAGCGCAACCCUUGUCAUUAAUUGCCAUCAUUCAGUUGGGCACUUUAAUGAGACUGCCGGUGACAAACCGGAGGAAGGUGGGGAUGACGUCAAGUCCUCAUGGCCCUUAUGGGUAGGGCUUCACACGUCAUACAAUGGUCGGUACAGAGGGUUGCCAAGCCGCGAGGUGGAGCCAAUCCCAGAAAGCCGAUCGUAGUCCGGAUCGCAGUCUGCAACUCGACUGCGUGAAGUCGGAAUCGCUAGUAAUCGCGGAUCAGCAUGUCGCGGUGAAUACGUUCCCGGGUCUUGUACACACCGCCCGUCACACCAUGGGAGUGGGUUCUACCAGAAGUAG